UACGUAGGGGCUAGCGUUAUCCGGAAUUACUGGGCGUAAAGGGUGCGUAGGUGGUUUCUUAAGUCAGAGGUGAAAGGCUACGGCUCAACCGUAGUAAGCCUUUGAAACUGGGAAACUUGAGUGCAGGAGAGGAGAGUGGAAUUCCUAGUGUAGCGGUGAAAUGCGUAGAUAUUAGGAGGAACACCAGUUGCGAAGGCGGCUCUCUGGACUGUAACUGACACUGAGGCACGAAAGUGUGGGGAGCAAACAGGAUUAGAUACUCGCGUAGUCCCUGA
Molecule: ribosomal RNA, 275 nt
Filed under: uncultured prokaryote
Description: partial 16S ribosomal RNA
Rfam family: Bacterial small subunit ribosomal RNA
Source: RNAcentral